GGGUUGUGAGGUUAAGCGACUAAGCGUACACGGUGGAUGCCCUGGCAGUCAGAGGCGAUGAAGGGCGUGCUAAUCUGCGAUAAGCGCCGGUAAGGUGAUAUGAACCGUUAUAACCGGCGAUACCCGAAUGGGGAAACCCAGUGUGAUUCGUCACACUAUCAUUAACUGAAUCCAUAGGUUAAUGAGGCGAACCGGGGGAACUGAAACAUCUAAGUACCCCGAGGAAAAGAAAUCAACCGAGAUUCCCCCAGUAGCGGCGAGCGAACGGGGAGGAGCCCAGAGCCUGAAUCAGCAUGUGUGUUAGUGGAAGCGUCUGGAAAGGCGCGCGAUACAGGGUGACAGCCCCGUACACAAAAGCGCAUAUGCUGUGAGCUCGAUGAGUAGGGCGGGACACGUGGUAUCCUGUCUGAAUAUGGGGGGACCAUCCUCCAAGGCUAAAUACUCCUGACUGACCGAUAGUGAACCAGUACCGUGAGGGAAAGGCGAAAAGAACCCCGGCGAGGGGAGUGAAAAAGAACCUGAAACCGUGUACGUACAAGCAGUGGGAGCCCCACCACUAAGCCAGUGGUGAACUCCACAUACGCAUCCUUUGCUGAGGAGACGGUUAACGGAGCGAAAGCGACGUUCAACCUCAAAAGAAGCAGAGGGGGCUUAGUGGUGGGGUGACUGCGUACCUUUUGUAUAAUGGGUCAGCGACUUAUAUUCUGUAGCAAGGUUAACUGUAUAGGGGAGCCGGAGGGAAACCGAGUCUUAACCGGGCGUUAAGUUGCAGGGUAUAGACCCGAAACCCGGUGAUCUAGCCAUGGGCAGGUUGAAGGUUGGGUAACACUAACUGGAGGACCGAACCGACUAAUGUUGAAAAAUUAGCGGAUGACCUGUGGCUGGGGGUGAAAGGCCAAUCAAACCGGGAGAUAGCUGGUUCUCCCCGAAAGCUAUUUAGGUAGCGCCUCGUGAAUUCAUCUCCGGGGGUAGAGCACUGUUUCGGCUAGGGGGCCAUCCCGGCUUACCAACCCGAUGCAAACUGCGAAUACCGGAGAAUGUUAUCACGGGAGACACACGGCGGGUGCUAAUGUCCGUCGUGAAGAGGGAAACAACCCAGACCGCCAGCUAAGGUCCCAAAGUCAUGGUUAAGUGGGAAACGAUGUGGGAAGGCCCAGACAGCCAGGAUGUUGGCUUAGAAGCAGCCAUCAUUUAAAGAAAGCGUAAUAGCUCACUGGUCGAGUCGGCCUGCGCGGAAGAUGUAACGGGGCUAAACCAUGCACCGAAGCUGCGGCAGCGACACCGUGUGUUGUUGGGUAGGGGAGCGUUCUGUAAGCCUGUGAAGGUGUGCUGUGAGGCAUGCUGGAGGUAUCAGAAGUGCGAAUGCUGACAUAAGUAACGAUAAAGCGGGUGAAAAGCCCGCUCGCCGGAAGACCAAGGGUUCCUGUCCAACGUUAAUCGGGGCAGGGUGAGUCGACCCCUAAGGCGAGGCCGAAAGGCGUAGUCGAUGGGAAACGGGUUAAUAUUCCCGUACUUGGUGUUACUGCGAAGGGGGGACGGAGAAGGCUAUGUUGGCCGGGCGACGGUUGUCCCGGUUUAAGCGUGUAGGUAUGUGUUCCAGGUAAAUCCGGUUCACUUUAACACUGAGGCGUGACGACGAGGCACUACGGUGCUGAAGCAACAAAUGCCCUGCUUCCAGGAAAAGCCUCUAAGCAUCAGGUAACAUCAAAUCGUACCCCAAACCGACACAGGUGGUCAGGUAGAGAAUACCAAGGCGCUUGAGAGAACUCGGGUGAAGGAACUAGGCAAAAUGGUGCCGUAACUUCGGGAGAAGGCACGCUGACACGUAGGUGAAGUGAUUUACUCACGGAGCUGAAGUCAGCCGAAGAUACCAGCUGGCUGCAACUGUUUAUUAAAAACACAGCACUGUGCAAACACGAAAGUGGACGUAUACGGUGUGACGCCUGCCCGGUGCCGGAAGGUUAAUUGAUGGGGUCAGCGCAAGCGAAGCUCCUGAUCGAAGCCCCGGUAAACGGCGGCCGUAACUAUAACGGUCCUAAGGUAGCGAAAUUCCUUGUCGGGUAAGUUCCGACCUGCACGAAUGGCGUAAUGAUGGCCAGGCUGUCUCCACCCGAGACUCAGUGAAAUUGAACUCGCUGUGAAGAUGCAGUGUACCCGCGGCAAGACGGAAAGACCCCGUGAACCUUUACUAUAGCUUGACACUGAACAUUGAGCCUUGAUGUGUAGGAU
RNAcentral lists this ribosomal RNA (2229 nucleotides) under Salmonella enterica subsp. enterica serovar Typhi str. CT18. RNAcentral describes it as "partial 23S ribosomal RNA". It matches the Rfam family "Bacterial large subunit ribosomal RNA", at positions 1 to 2144 of the family's 2925-position model. The record is from RNAcentral. Lineage: Bacteria; Pseudomonadati; Pseudomonadota; Gammaproteobacteria; Enterobacterales; Enterobacteriaceae.